AGUUUUUAUUUGGUUUAGGUUAAAAGAUUGCCCGGGGGAAAUCCAUGAUUCCUUUGUGAAAGGAGCCUUUAAAGCUCCGCUAGAGGAUGAGGGUGCGGAACAUUAGUUAGUUGGUAGGGUAAUGGCCUACCAAGACUAUGAUGUUUAGCCGGGUCGAGAGACUGAACGGCCACAUUGGGACUGAGAUACGGCCCAAACUCCUACGGGAGGCAGCAGUAGGGAAUAUUCCACAAUGAGCGAAAGCUUGAUGGAGCGACACAGCGUGCACGAUGAAGGUCUUCGGAUUGUAAAGUGCUGUUAUAGGGAAAGAACACCUGGUUGAGGAAAUGCUUCCAGGCUGACGGUACCCUGUCAGAAAGCGAUGGCUAACUAUGUGCCAGCAGCCGCGGUAAUACAUAGGUCGCAAGCGUUAUCCGGAAUUAUUGGGCGUAAAGCGUUCGUAGGCCGUUUAUUAAGUCUGGAGUCAAAUCCCAGGGCUCAACCCUGGCUCGCUUUGGAUACUGGUAAACUAGAGUUAGAUAGAGGUAAGCGGAUAGCAUGAGGC
Molecule: ribosomal RNA, 544 nt
Filed under: Mycoplasmopsis arginini
Lineage: Bacteria; Bacillati; Mycoplasmatota; Mycoplasmoidales; Metamycoplasmataceae
Description: bacterial SSU rRNA
Rfam family: Bacterial small subunit ribosomal RNA
Source: RNAcentral